UGGAAUUUGGUUAGCUUAGUGGCGGACGGGUGAGUAACGCGUGAGCAACCUGCCUUUCAGAGGGGGAUAACGUCUUGAAAAGGACGCUAAUACCGCAUGACACAUAGAUGUCGCAUGGCAUUUAUGUCAAAGAUUUAUCGCUGAAAGAUGGCCUCGCGUCUGAUUAGCUAGUUGGUGAGGUAACGGCCCACCAAGGCGACGAUCAGUAGCCGGACUGAGAGGUUGAACGGCCACAUUGGGACUGAGAUACGGCCCAGACUCC
This 262-nucleotide ribosomal RNA is filed under the name uncultured Oscillospiraceae bacterium. Its description in RNAcentral is "partial 16S ribosomal RNA". It matches the Rfam family "Bacterial small subunit ribosomal RNA", at positions 77 to 339 of the family's 1533-position model. The record is from RNAcentral. Lineage: Bacteria; Bacillati; Bacillota; Clostridia; Eubacteriales; Oscillospiraceae.